UGGAGAGUUUCACAUGCCAUGCUAAGA
RNAcentral lists this non-coding RNA (27 nucleotides) under Homo sapiens (human). The record is from RNAcentral. Lineage: Eukaryota; Metazoa; Chordata; Mammalia; Primates; Hominidae.